RNAcentral lists this long non-coding RNA (1168 nucleotides) under Triticum aestivum (bread wheat). Its description in RNAcentral is "long non-coding RNA (TAES_LNC008634)". The record is from RNAcentral. Lineage: Eukaryota; Viridiplantae; Streptophyta; Magnoliopsida; Poales; Poaceae.
GCCCUUUCUCUUCCGUCGGCCUUCUUCGUUGAGCCUCACCACGCUGUCCAUUCUUCUCGGCUCAGUCAAUGCGGUCUACCCUCUUGCUGAAGUCGCUCCUUUCUACAAAUAUGGAUUGAAGCUGAAUCGAAGUUCUUGAGUCCUGGCGGAGUUGGUCUAUUUCUUCCAUCUGGCGGAGCGGGUGGAUUUCCGACAAAUCUAGCUCCACGUUUGUUAUAUUUCUUUCAUCUUGUUUUGCUUUUUGUUCAUGCGGAAAUCUUGCCCCUUGUAAUCCCAAAGCUGCAAUCUUGACUGGACCUUCUAACUAACCUUCAUCAUUUAGAUUGUAAGAUGGAUUUGUAGGUAUAUUACUGGUUAUUAACCUAAUAUGUUUAUGUGAAUCUUGAAAACAAUAAUUGUUGUAGCUGUAGCUAUAUUUGAACCCUAUACCAAAACUGAUAGAUUCGCACAUUUCAUCAAUUCUGUUACGUGAAAUGUGAAAAUUUUAUUGAUGAACCUAGUUGAAUUUUUUGCCGCACUUUUCUAAUGAUUCAAAAUGUGAAAUGUGAAAUUUUUAACAUAUUAUGUUUAAUGAUAAAAGUGAAGUACAGAUUUUUGUACUUUUAAUGCCUGCUAAUAUGAAUUAUAGAGUAGGAAAAGUGAAGUAUAGAGUAGGAAAAGCAAAUUUUAACUUCUCUAUGUAACUUGCAAUGUUAAAAGUGAAGUAUAGAGUAGUAAAAGCAAACCUUGAUUGAGAAAUUGUUUAGCGGCACAUGUUUAAUGUUUGCUAAAUAUGAAAUGUGAUCUUGCAUAUGUGUCUCAAAUGUGAGAUUUAUUAUUUACAUUCUGUUGUUCAAAGUAAGGAUUGUUUUUCACAUUUUUAUGUAAGGAAUUAUUUUGUCAUUACACUUUCCACUUGUACACUUCCCACAUCUUUACAUUUCUUGUAUUCAAUUUGUUAUCAACAUUUUUAUAUGCAAGGAAUGAUUUUCUCAGUACUAUAUAAAAUUUUCAGAAUCUUUAUCGCUUAAAUUUCUAUGGAUGCAGAUAUGGAGCCUAGAAAAUCGCCAAGAUCAAGAAAACAAAUCCAGUCUGAACUUUCUAGCGAUGCAUCCAGUGAUGAUGAUGUUUCUUCUAGAUCCAAAAGCACUACUAACAGCAAAAGAACUUCUCCAAAGAAGAUUAAGAG